Molecule: long non-coding RNA, 2510 nt
Organism: Eriocheir sinensis (Chinese mitten crab)
Lineage: Eukaryota; Metazoa; Arthropoda; Malacostraca; Decapoda; Varunidae
Exons: 4
Source: RefSeq, a predicted model, not a curated record
CUUGCCGGCAAUAUCAACCAUCAGAAAAGAUCACAAGUGGACAAACUAGAACAAAACCAGGCAAAUUAAUACGUUUCCCGGGUGCGCAUGCGUAGUGAACAGAGAAGACUUGUUUCUGUGAGAGAGGGGGCGCCAUGUUCCAGUGGGAGGAGACACCUGACAGCUAUUCUACCAGUGUGCUCCUCUUGUUCACGGCCUCCAACACCGGUAGAGACAGGAAAGAAUGGGAGCCACCACCAGCGACCUGAGAGGUCACUGUAUUGUAGACCCAGCCAAUCCUUGUCAUCUACACCUAACUCGGACACCACCUGCAAUAUGGAUUCUUGAUGUAUUCUCCUUGGUUUUGUGGCAAGACUUGCGGCGCGUGACGAUUUCAAGGGGUAACUAAAACUUUGCAGUUCACGCACAACCCUCCAAAUGGCCUGUAUGUGUCGUUCGUCUAUCUGCAAGAUGUGCCUGAUAUGAAACAACACAUGAAAACAAAACUCUAGGAGCAAGACUUUUGGUCGGCCCCAGCCUGUAAUGGUGCAGGCAAGUUUACAGUGGUGCUGUUUUGCUUGGCUCAUGCUGCUCCCCAGAACUCAUUUUAAUCCUCAUUUAGUGUCUGGGUUGAUAGGUGGUCUUUAGGACAGCAUGUGGAUAGUCUCUGGCCAUUUGGUGAAGACUGAAAAUUGUCAGCUUGUAGCAGCGGGCGGGACUCGAACCCCGGGCCUCCAUGACGCCGUGCCCUCAUGCUGAUCAGCUGUUGCCUCCCCUAUUUUUUUUUUUUUUUUACCUAAUUUAUACUAAAGUUAGUCACUUAUUUUUUUAAUUUACAAAAAUUCUAGGCAGGGCCUGCAAGUAACCUGGUGUUACUUUCGAUACAACUUAGUCUUAAGAGUCACGGAAGCUUGUCACAUUUUAUUUUCCCACAAACUCACUCACUCUGACUUACCAGUAAGGAUCAACAGCUUCUGAACAUCUGCUCCAGAGCAUUAAAGAAAAAGGAAUGUCAUAAUAAAUGUAGUAUAGCAGCAGGGCACUUUUUUUUAUUUUUUCAAAAAUGAUAUACAUCUAGUUAUAUACACAGUAGUAUACACUUACUUUGAUAAUACUUUCACAGCAUAUUCUAAAACUUAAUAUUUAUUUUACAUUGUAUCAGGUACAGAAACGACAUUGUGACAGAAUAAAAAGAAACUAGUUCUAUUUGUAAUGAAAGAAUUGAUAAUUGAUAUACAUAAAAAAAAAAAAAGUUUUCAUAAAAUUUAAACAUCUUUUGCCACCUGCUAGUUGAAAAGGUCAUUUACAAGGAUAUAAAAUAUACAGUAGAACACUGAUUUAAUCAGUAUGAAUUUAUUUAAAAUUAUUUUAGUAAGAAAGACUGAUACAUUUUCACCUUUUUUUUUUUCUAUUUUCAAAUCAAAUUUGCCAUGUAAUAAUGAGUCCCUCCAUCCACAAAUGUUGUCAGUCAUAAAAACAGAAAUAGCCAGAAGACAGCUCCUGACUCCUGAUCAGCUGAAGUUGAGAGCACUGCAGCCUCUGAUUGGCUCAAUCAAGCACUCUCUGACCGACUUGUUCCUGGCCCAUGAUUGGCUAGGACACGAGGUAUGCACACAAAUUUUGAAGUUAAAAAUAUAUAUGUAAUUGACUUAUAUUUAGCUGACCAUUUUGAUGGAUAUUAUCACCAGAAUUUCAAUUUUUGCAUAACUUCUAGGGCAGAGGGGUGAUUUAGCUAUUACUCAUGUCAAUUUGCAGAGAGCAUUUGACAUUGCCAUAGCAAUGUAAGAUAAUACUUUAGACAGUCAUAUAACAUCAUUUGUAUAUAUUUAGGCAUAAUGUAGCUAUUUUUAUCAUAUUUUAGGUAAAAAUCCUAACUACAUGAUUAUUCUGUAUGUAAGUGUGAGCAGUAUAGCAAAGGACCUGCAAUAUUAUCGUCAACUCAAAAUUUGAAAAACUAUAGUAUCACGGCUCCUUUGCUAUACUGCUCACAUUUACUUGCAGAAUAAUCAUUUAGGUGAUGAGGACUUAUCUUAUAACAUGAUAAAAUUAGCUUCAUUAUGCCUAAAUAUACAAAUCAUGUUUAAUGCACAUCUUUAAUAUCAUCUUACUGCUGUGGCAAUCAAUGUCAAAUCCUCUGCAUAUUGGUGUUGAAUAAUAGCAGUCACCCCUCUGCCCCGGAAAGGUAAGAGAAGAUUUAUAUUUUGGUGGUAACAGGAACAAGAACAAGACUAGCAAGUGGCAGCAGGGAGGUUACAGUAAAACCUAAGGGUGGAAAGAAAAGGUGUAAUGUGAAUAGUGGAUGACUGUAGACAUAUGUGGUAGUUUUAAAGAGGGAGCUUGGAAGCAUUGACUAUAACAAACCUAAUUGGAGGAAUCAGGGAUAGGGAAAGUAGUGAAGGGAGUGGACCAGAAGUAUAUGAGUAGAGGAAGGGAAGGGCUUGCUGUAUUAGUGUGGAAAGGUCUAGGUACAAACGGAAAAUGUAAUACACCUGUACCCAGGGUUGGAAAAAAAAAAAAAAAAAAAAUAAUAA